AGCUGCGGGGCUGCCGCCCCCUGCUGGGCAGCGGGUUGCCUGGCGCGUCCCCUGCAGCGUCACCGGCCGCUUCGCCUGCAGCCGGCGGGGCGGGGUCGCCGCCGCUCCCGGCAGCCCCUGCGCGGGGCGAGCCCGGGAGUUGGUGUCAGGACCCCUUCCACAUUGAAGUGUUCCCAAAACUAGACACAGUUCUGCAGCCACGAUCUUACUGGAGGAAUUAUUUCAUGAGUGAUUCCUGCUUCUGUAGCCCAGUACGAUAUUUACUUUCUUCACAGUGGUCUGACACGGCUGAUCCAUGUUCCAUCUGUGAUCAUCUCUAAUCUCAAAUCCUUAAGCACUUCCAUGAAGUCAGCUCUACAUGUUGUAUUAGCACAGCUGAUUCUUCUUACCUAAAUGUCAUACUUUGUAUUUGUCCUAAUUGAACUGCACCCUAUUUAUUUUAGAUCAUUUAUCUAAUUUGUCAAGAUCUCACACACAGCACUUAACUUUUCCCCAAAAAGUCAGCCCCUCAAAAAUUGGGCUGUGUGUAUGAGGUGGGACGCUGAUUUUGUCACUGGGAUAGAAGCACCCUGCUUUUAUUCCUGCUUCACAGUGCAGCAGGUGUUGCACUAUCAUGCAGGCAACAGGAGGAGUCAGUUGACUUCAUGGCUCAUAGUUAUUCACUCCAAAAGUGUUAACAGUCAUCUCUUCUUUCUAAUGGGCUUGUCAAGCUAACCUUUCUUAGGGCAAUUUUGCUGUCUGCUAGCUUCUCCUGUUCUCUCCCCUCCUAGCUAUCUCUUAUCAAAAUCAUAGCUCCACCCAUGGAGACCAGUCUUCAGGAGCAGCUAGGGUUUCAUUUACUUAAUAAGACAUUAAAAAAUGGCACUUUAAACUCAGUGCACUCCUACACCAAGCCCAACACAUGUCCAGAAGAGGCAACGCGUUAAUUGGACCCAGCUUGCCCAACAUCUGUACAGACUGAAUCGGCUUUAGAUAAAAGUGCCAGAAAGCCCCGCUGAAGCAUCCAAUCUAUACAGAUGCUGUGGACCUGGGUCAAACUACCAUUCUGCUUCUUUCGGUAAAACGUGCUUUGGGGAUUUUUAUUUGAACAUCUGUAAGCAGCCCUGAAGAUUAGGCUCUGUCGCUGCCCUAUGCAGCCAUAGCUCUGGGGGAAAAAAAAUCUUUGUUUAUUCAUUCUGCCUUUCAAGAAAAAGUUGCAUGUUAUAUUGCAGAGCACUGAUGACUCUGAAACUCAAGCUAAGCUGGGGUCUACUCACAACAGUUAAAAUACAAAACAGUGAUGCAAACUGCAUCGUGCAAGAGGAUGCUAGGCCAUCUGAAAAGAAAUAAUGAGUUAUCACUUCUAGUUUAUCUUACUAUAUUUGUGAUGAUUUUAAGCAGGCUCCUAGUUGUCUGGUACAUAUCUGUGUAAAAUGUCUAUCCUUGAUUAAUUAGUAUGGUAAAUAUUUCUUUUGCAGUUAACUCAUGUUUAUGUAGAGUCAUUCUACAUAUGAGAUCUAUGUUUCCUCUUGAUUUACUCUUGUUUUGCUGCUUCUUACUGAUUUACUUUUAUUUUUUGCCCAGUAGUCCCCUUGAUCUUCCAAGGAUACUCCUCAAAAACCUUGUGUUUUUCCUGGUUGUUAAUCAGUCUCUUGAUACAUUCCAAACUUAGUAGUAUUUCAUUCACAAUGGAACUUUCUGAUAACCAAUAAUGAGCAGUUCGAUUACCAGGAUUUUCCUGCCAAUUACUGCUUGGGUCUCUCUUGGUUUACAUAACUACAAGAAUGCUUUGAAGAUGCUGAGCUAAAGGAUAUAAGAAGAAGGAUGAAACAGCUAACAGCACGUGCUUAAAGAAUGAACAAUCCUUCUGACAAUGACUGCUGCUGCUCCCAGCUUUCUUCUAGGUGAGAGGAUCCACACCUAGAUAAGCUGCCAAGAAUCAGACCGUCUUCCUGUCGCCUGUGAGAAAUUAUCAUCUUUUAGCUAAAUAUUGGACUUUGCUUUGGUUUGGACUCAUUUAACCCUGAAUACUUGUAGUAAAUAAAGCCUUUCUGUCAUUUAUCGAACAA
Molecule: long non-coding RNA, 2048 nt
Organism: Alligator mississippiensis (American alligator)
Lineage: Eukaryota; Metazoa; Chordata; Crocodylia; Alligatoridae
Exons: 2
Source: RefSeq, a predicted model, not a curated record